CAGCUCUUGACAUGUCCCGUAUGAGUACCAGAGAUGGAACUCUUCAGUUCGGCUGGCGGGAACACAGGUGCUGCAUGGCUGUCGUCAGCUCGUGUCGUGAGAUGUUGGGUUAAGUCCCGCAACGAGCGCAACCCUCGCCCUUAGUUGCCAUCAUUUAGUUGGGCACUCUAAGGGGACUGCCGGUGAUAAGCCGCGAGGAAGGUGGGGAUGACGUCAAGUCCUCAUGGCCCUUACGGGCUGGGCUACACACGUGCUACAAUGGCGGUGACAAUGGGAUGCUGAGGGGUAACCCCGAGCAAAUCUCAAAAAGCCGUCUCAGUUCGGAUUGUGCUCUGCAACUCGAGCACAUGAAGUUGGAAUCGCUAGUAAUCGCAGAUCAGCACGCUGCGGUGAAUACGUUCCC
This 403-nucleotide ribosomal RNA is filed under the name uncultured soil bacterium. RNAcentral describes it as "bacterial SSU rRNA". It matches the Rfam family "Bacterial small subunit ribosomal RNA", at positions 975 to 1375 of the family's 1533-position model. The record is from RNAcentral.